ACUCCUACGGGAGGCAGCAGUAGGAAUGAUUGGCGAAUGAGGCAACUCUGACCAGCCAUGCCGCGUGAAGGACGAAGGCCUAUGGUUGUAAAACUUCUUUUAUUUGGGAAGAAAACACUCUACGUGUAGAGUACUGACAUUACCAACGAAUAAGGAUCGGCUAACUCCGUGCCAGCAGCCGCGGUAUUGCUCCAUCAGGG
Molecule: ribosomal RNA, 200 nt
Filed under: uncultured bacterium
Lineage: Bacteria
Description: partial 16S ribosomal RNA
Rfam family: Bacterial small subunit ribosomal RNA
Source: RNAcentral